RNAcentral lists this long non-coding RNA (778 nucleotides) under Cricetulus griseus (Chinese hamster). RNAcentral describes it as "lncRNA (ENSCGRG00015030774.1)". Lineage: Eukaryota; Metazoa; Chordata; Mammalia; Rodentia; Cricetidae. The record is from RNAcentral.
GCUAGAUUUAGAGGUGGAUUUGGCUUUCCUCCUCUAAAAUCCAAGCAUGUUAUUUAACUAAACUUUAGUGUUUUUGUAUUGUAUCAAGAAGCCAAUUGAUGUAAUACAGAAUAAAAGAAGAAUUUGGGGACUGUCUUUGUCAUUUCUUGGAUCUUUCUCUCAAGCCAAUGAAGACCUGCCUGACAGCAAUCCCUGGACUCCCUGGAAAAAAAUGGGCUACACAUCCUCGAGUGCACUGGAUCCAACUUGCUCCAUUUUAACUGACACUCUGGCCAGAGGUUCGGGUACUGACUUCAAUCAAGUUGAUGAUUUCAAGUGAGAUCUUCAAUCAAGAGAAUCCCAUCUAGCAUGGACUGGAUACAAUCCAUUCAAGACUUUCACUAUACUAACAUUUUCUUCCUACAGGACCCCACAAGGCUAUCAUCGUCCUAUUUCAGCAGGAAGUAACUUGGAGGAUGCUACGACCCCUUUCCCCAUUGUUGUCACUUAGGACAGUGUAUAUACCUAUUUAGGGAUAGCUUCCUAUUGUUUAUGGUUGGGAUUGGAAGGAGGUGUUCAGGCUUGGACACCUCUUUCAGAUGACUUUAGGGUUUAGUUAAAAUAGAUAGUUAGGAUGUGACAUAAGCAGAUUGUUGUAUCUUCUUAUAUUUUACCUUUAUGAUGGUUAAUUUUGGAUACUUUACACUGUUAAGUUUUAAUCCUCUUUUAGACUAAAAGGGGAAUUGCAGGGGAAGCUGUAGCCACGCCUACUUAGGGGCUGGCUACAAGAGUGCCUGAC